This 377-nucleotide long non-coding RNA is filed under the name Physcomitrium patens. Its description in RNAcentral is "long non-coding RNA (PPAT_LNC006360)". Lineage: Eukaryota; Viridiplantae; Streptophyta; Bryopsida; Funariales; Funariaceae. The record is from RNAcentral.
CUUGAGAUGUGGCAAUUUUUGUCUUUCAAGCCAAUAAGAUGAGAAAUUAAAUUGAAAAAAGGAUCAUAGAGUACUUAAAGACUUGAAGAGGAAUUUUAAUACUGUGGUGUGUAUUAUUCCAUUGUUGUAACUAUUUGAUGCUGUUUAUUCUCUUUGGUUGUAUCCUUGAUGAUAUUGUAUAAGUACAUGUUUGUUUGUAUUUUCUUGUGUUGUGAAUCUAUGUACAUUUUGCUAUUAAGGUUAAUGUUGAGUACUUGCUUGUUCCUAGCUGGUUCUUGUAUUAAUGAUGGUUUAUUUUGUGAUGUUCUCUCCUCUACAAAUCUUGAUGGCCUUAUUAAUAUACUAGUGGCUAAUGACUUGUCCUUUUGCAUUACUCU